This 70-nucleotide transfer RNA is filed under the name Balta vilis. RNAcentral describes it as "tRNA-Tyr". The record is from RNAcentral. Lineage: Eukaryota; Metazoa; Arthropoda; Insecta; Blattodea; Pseudophyllodromiidae.
AGUAGAGUGGCUGAGGUAUAAGGUGAUAAAUUGUAAAUUUAUUUAGGAACUAAAUUGAGUUCCUCUACUA